UGCAAGUCGAGCGGUAGAGAGGUGCUUGCACCUCUUGAGAGCGGCGGACGGGUGAGUAAUGCCUAGGAAUCUGCCUGGUAGUGGGGGAUAACGUUCGGAAACGAACGCUAAUACCGCAUACGUCCUACGGGAGAAAGCAGGGGACCUUCGGGCCUUGCGCUAUCAGAUGAGCCUAGGUCGGAUUAGCUAGUUGGUGAGGUAAUGGCUCACCAAGGCGACGAUCCGUAACUGGUCUGAGAGGAUGAUCAGUCACACUGGAACUGAGACACGGUCCAGACUCCUACGGGAGGCAGCAGUGGGGAAUAUUGGACAAUGGGCGAAAGCCUGAUCCAGCCAUGCCGCGUGUGUGAAGAAGGUCUUCGGAUUGUAAAGCACUUUAAGUUGGGAGGAAGGGUUGUAGAUUAAUACUCUGCAAUUUUGACGUUACCGACAGAAUAAGCACCGGCUAACUCUGUGCCAGCAGCCGCGGUAAUACAGAGGGUGCAAGCGUUAAUCGGAAUUACUGGGCGUAAAGCGCGCGUAGGUGGUUCGUUAAGUUGGAUGUGAAAGCCCCGGGCUCAACCUGGGAACUGCAUUCAAAACUGUCGAGCUAGAGUAUGGUAGAGGGGUGGGGGGAAUUUUCUGGGGUAGCGGUGAAAUGCGUAGAUAUAGGAAGGAACACCAGUGGCGAAGGCGACCACCUGGGACUGAUACUGACACUGAGGUGCGAAAGCGUGGGGAGCAAACAGGAUUAGAUACCCUGGUAGUCCACGCCGUAGACGAUGUCAACUAGCCGUUGGGAGCCUUGAGCUCUUAGUGGCGCAGCUAACGCAUUAAGUUGACCGCCUGGUGGAGUACGGCCGCAAGGUUAAAACUCAAAUGAAUUUGACGGGGGCCCGCACAA
RNAcentral lists this ribosomal RNA (883 nucleotides) under Pseudomonas sp. Its description in RNAcentral is "bacterial SSU rRNA". It matches the Rfam family "Bacterial small subunit ribosomal RNA", at positions 56 to 928 of the family's 1533-position model. The record is from RNAcentral. Lineage: Bacteria; Pseudomonadati; Pseudomonadota; Gammaproteobacteria; Pseudomonadales; Pseudomonadaceae.